UAUAUACUCCCUCCGUCCGAAAAUACUUGUCAUCAAAAUGGAUAAAAAUAGAUGUAUCUAGAACUAAAAUAUGUCUAGAUACAUCACCUUUUAUCCAUUUUGAUGACAAGUAUUUCCGGACGGAGGGAGUAUAAU
Non-coding RNA from Triticum aestivum (bread wheat), 135 nucleotides. The record is from Rfam. Lineage: Eukaryota; Viridiplantae; Streptophyta; Magnoliopsida; Poales; Poaceae.